UUUAGAACGAAAGACGAUGGCACUAA
This 26-nucleotide small RNA is filed under the name Bombyx mori (domestic silkworm). RNAcentral describes it as "ovarian small RNA-38235". Lineage: Eukaryota; Metazoa; Arthropoda; Insecta; Lepidoptera; Bombycidae. The record is from RNAcentral.